Non-coding RNA from Megalobrama amblycephala (Wuchang bream), 850 nucleotides. The record is from the annotation of a RefSeq genome assembly. NCBI's taxonomy places the organism in Eukaryota, Metazoa, Chordata, Actinopteri, Cypriniformes, Xenocyprididae.
CUACAGUCAGUGUUUGUAGGGUAAGAUGAGCAAGAAGGUACAGUAAGUGUGGGAGGAGCUCAAUGUUUUGUCGACUCCUGCAGAAUAAAUCAAAUAGACACUGACUUCCCUUCAUACUGAUGAUACUGAAUCUGAACUCAAACUACAGAAACAUGUUACUCAUCACUUCUGUUUUAAUAUUUAUCCUCAGUUACUGUGAAGCGAAUGGGAAUGUCAUCAGACCAGAUCAACCAUCUGUAGUUUUAACUGAAGGAAGCAGCAUCAAUCUGUCCUGUACAUUUGAUGGAUCAGCUUACAGUCUCCACUGGUACCGGCAGAUGCCUGGAUCAAGACCAGAGUUUCUGCUGCUGAUUGUGAAGUCUACUAAAACCGAAGUUCGAGCUUCUCCACCUCACCCGCAUAUGUCCAUCAGUCUUCAUGAUAAACGUGUGGAUCUGGAGAUCUUCUCUGCUGCAGUAUCAGACUCUGCUCUGUAUUACUGUGCUCUGCAGCCCACAGUGACAGGAAACACAAGAACACUGUACAAAAACCUUCUUUUGUCUGUUGCAUACAGUGAUAUCUUUUUCUACCCCCUAUGAUCUCUGUGUGAUAUUCCAUUAUGUUGGUAAUAUGACCUUUAAAUGUACGUAAUGAGAUUAUUGACCAAUGUCAAAUUGCAUUUAUCUUUCAUUUUACAUUUAUUUAGCAAGGACAUCCCUGAAAGAGAAAAGUUCUUUAGAACGGGCAAAGAAUGUAGUUAAGGUCAAUACAAAAAUGGACUGCAAAAUACCAAGACGUUCGAUCACCAUCCAGCACACAAGAAAUAUAUUCUGUUCCUUGAAAUAAGCUUGAGGUAAACUGAAAAUAAGAA